This 492-nucleotide ribosomal RNA is filed under the name uncultured bacterium. RNAcentral describes it as "partial 16S ribosomal RNA". It matches the Rfam family "Bacterial small subunit ribosomal RNA", at positions 29 to 507 of the family's 1533-position model. The record is from RNAcentral.
AGUGAACGCUGGCGGUAGGCCUAACACAUGCAAGUCGAACGGCAGCACAGUAAGAGCUUGCUCUUACGGGUGGCGAGUGGCGGACGGGUGAGGAAUACAUCGGAAUCUACUUUUUCGUGGGGGAUAACGUAGGGAAACUUACGCUAAUACCGCAUACGACCUACGGGUGAAAGCAGGGGAUCUUCGGACCUUGCGCGAUUGAAUGAGCCGAUGUCGGAUUAGCUAGUUGGCGGGGAAAAGGCCCACCAAGGCGACGAUCCGUAGCUGGUCUUAGAGGAUGAUCAGCCACACUGGAACUGAGACACGGUCCAGACUCCUACGGGAGGCAGCAGUGGGGAAUAUUGGACAAUGGGCGCAAGCCUGAUCCAGCCAUACCGCGUGGGUGAAGAAGGCCUUCGGGUUGUAAAGCCCUUUUGUUGGGAAAGAAAAGCAGCAGGUUAAUACCCCGCUGUUCUGACGGUACCCAAAGAAUAAGCACCGGCUAACUUCGUG